Molecule: ribosomal RNA, 431 nt
Filed under: uncultured bacterium
Lineage: Bacteria
Description: partial 16S ribosomal RNA
Rfam family: Bacterial small subunit ribosomal RNA
Source: RNAcentral
AGCGAACGCUGGCGGCAGGCUUAACACUUGCAAGUCGAGCGCCCCGCAAGGGGAGCGGCAGACGGGAGAGUAACACGUGGGAACAUACCUUUUGGUUCGGAACAACUGAGGGAAACUUCAGCUAAUACCGGAUAAGCCCUUACGGGGAAAGAUUUAUCGCCUAAAGAUUGGCCCGCGUCUGAUUAGCUAGUUGGUGAGGUAACGGCUCACCAAGGCGACGAUCAGUAGCUGGUCUGAGAGGAUGAUCAGCCUCACUGGGACUGAGACACGGCCCAGACUCCUACGGGAGGCAGCAGUGGGGAAUAUUGGACAAUGGGGGCAACCCUGAUCCAGCCAUGCCGCGUGAGUGAUGAAGGCCUUAGGGUUGUAAAGCUCUUUUGCCCGGGAAGAUAAUGACGGUACCGGGAGAAUAAGCCCCGGCUAACUUCGUG